RNAcentral lists this unclassified non-coding RNA (336 nucleotides) under Hevea brasiliensis (rubber tree). The record is from RNAcentral. Lineage: Eukaryota; Viridiplantae; Streptophyta; Magnoliopsida; Malpighiales; Euphorbiaceae.
GGAACAACCAAUUCUGGUGUUUAAUACGGAAGGGCUGUUCCUACUAGUAGUCCAAGGUUCAGAAAAUCUCUACUAGGAAGUGAAGAUGCAUCAUUUUGAGGCUGCCUCACUAGUUGGCUUAUAGUCUCCUUCAAAAACGACUCUGUUGUCGUCCAUCACUGUUUGAAAUUCCUCUAAUUGCUUGGAUGCUUGAUUGAGAAUGUAAGAAAUGGACCUAUCUUGGUUUCUGAACGAAACGUUUCUGGCCUUACAAAGCAUCCACAAAGUGAAAGCCUCCAACCNGCUUCCAGUUAUCACAGGACGUAUAGGUUGGAGGCUUUCACUUUGUGGAUGCUU